This 468-nucleotide ribosomal RNA is filed under the name uncultured bacterium. Its description in RNAcentral is "partial 16S ribosomal RNA". It matches the Rfam family "Bacterial small subunit ribosomal RNA", at positions 28 to 507 of the family's 1533-position model. The record is from RNAcentral.
GACGAACGCUGGCGGCGUGCUUAACACAUGCAAGUCGAACGGAAAGGCCCUGCUUUUGUGGGGUGCUCGAGUGGCGAACGGGUGAGUAACACGUGAGUAACCUGCCCUUGACUUUGGGAUAACUUCAGGAAACUGGGGCUAAUACCGGGUAGGAGCUCCUGCUGCAUGGUGGGGGUUGGAAAGUUUCGGCGGUUGGGGAUGGACUCGCGGCUUAUCAGCUUGCUGGUGGGGUAGUGGCUUACCAAGGCUUUGACGGGUAGCCGGCCUGAGAGGGUGACCGGCCACAUUGGGACUGAGAUACGGCCCAGACUCCUACGGGAGGCAGCAGUGGGGAAUAUUGCACAAUGGGCGGAAGCCUGAUGCAGCAACGCCGCGUGCGGGAUGACGGCCUUCGGGUUGUAAACCGCUUUCGCCUGUGACGAAGCGUGAGUGACGGUAAUGGGUAAAGAAGCACCGGCUAACUACGUG